This 465-nucleotide ribosomal RNA is filed under the name uncultured bacterium. RNAcentral's name for it is "partial 16S ribosomal RNA". It matches the Rfam family "Bacterial small subunit ribosomal RNA", at positions 338 to 795 of the family's 1533-position model. The record is from RNAcentral.
CCUACGGGAGGCAGCAGUGGGGAAUAUUGCGCAAUGGGCGAAAGCCUGACGCAGCGACGCCGCGUGAGGGAUGAAGGUCUUCGGAUCGUAAACCUCUGUCAGCAGGGAAGAACGGUCACUGUGCUAAUCAGCAGUGAAUUGACGGUACCUGCAAAGGAAGCACCGGCUAACUCCGUGCCAGCAGCCGCGGUAAUACGGAGGGUGCGAGCGUUAAUCGGAAUUACUGGGCGUAAAGCGCUCGUAGGCGGUAUGUCAAGUCAAGGGGGAAAUCCCCGCGCUCAACGUGGGAACUGCCUUUGAAACUGGCAAACUGGAGAGUGUGAGAGGAUAGUGGAAUUGCAGGUGUAGGAGUGAAAUCCGUAGAUAUCAGGAGGAACAUCAGUGGCGGAGGCGACUAUCUGGCACAUAACUGACGCUGAGGAGCGAAAGCGUGGGUAGCAAACAGGAUUAGAUACCCGUGUAGUC